ACACUCAUGUUUCUUUUCAUAGCGUAUAAAUCUUUCGCCUUUUACUAAAGAUUUCCGUGGAGAGGAACACAAUGAGUAUAACAUAAUUUUUUGAUGCUCUGCUUAAUUGUGGGGCU
This is a small nuclear RNA of Sinocyclocheilus rhinocerous, 116 nucleotides long. Its record names the gene U5. It matches the Rfam family "U5 spliceosomal RNA". From Rfam's summary of the family: U5 RNA is a component of both types of known spliceosome. The record is from Ensembl. NCBI's taxonomy places the organism in Eukaryota, Metazoa, Chordata, Actinopteri, Cypriniformes, Cyprinidae.